Molecule: long non-coding RNA, 3746 nt
Organism: Eriocheir sinensis (Chinese mitten crab)
Lineage: Eukaryota; Metazoa; Arthropoda; Malacostraca; Decapoda; Varunidae
Exons: 3
Source: RefSeq, a predicted model, not a curated record
ACUCCUCAGAGCAGUAGCCUCGACCCUCGAGUCUCAAGAUGAACCAGUUCUGGCAGGUCCCAAAUCUAAUGGACUGCAGUCAGUGGAAGAGUUUCUAGUUGAGAGCUUGAGAUACAAGUUGAAGAUAAUCCAUUUCUCAUCGUGGACUCAUCAUGACUUCGAGAUGGUUGCUCCUGGGAACUCUGCAAAGGUUUACCCUGUCCCUCCUACACCAAUACCUCCUGCUGAACCACACGGUAGGCAUAGUAGCUUAGUUCCCUGUGCCAGUGAUUAAUCUGUAGUCCCAAUUGCCUCCCAAGAAAUACAAGACCAUGACUUGAAUGAGAGAAAGGGGAUGAGAGUCGUGGCCAGUGACACUUUUACACAUAGGGCUGAGCAGGAGGCAGAUAUCCCACUUCCUCAGCGUUUCCCCUUAAGUCCACUCAGAGUCUACCACUAUGACCCCUCCCCAUCCCAUUCUUCCCUUCCCACACACCUGCAUAUCCCAGGGGAGAGUAAAGAUCAUUACUCUCUCCCCUUUCUCUCAUUGUCUGUCUCCCUUCUCUUCCUUUCACUUAUACUGUAUCAAAUUUUCUUACAUUUCAUCUACUUCUUUCUUUCCUUUUUCCUUUUCAGUCUUUCUUUAUUUAAUUUUCUGUUAUUUUUUUAUAUCCCUUAAUUUUUACACACACACACACACACACACACAGUAAGCAUUAUGGAGACGGGACAGCACUAGCCUAGUACGGCUCUUUUCCUGUAUUUCACAACUAGGUAAAUACACACACACACACACUGUUAAUGCAAUCAAAGUGGGUGACCAAGUCUAUGAGGAUGCAAAGGAAAUCUGUGAAAUAUUAACUGUUUUCCGUUUGCCGUUGCUGAAGUUUCAGGCUCCGCUUCACUGCCAGCGCAGCGCUCCGCACCACUGUCAGCGUAGCGGUCCACAGGGUUAUUAACAAUUAUGAUGUUAGCCUCGAUAAUAAUCCUCGAUACAUUUAUUCGCAAAUGAAAACUUUAAAAAAGUAUUUACAUAGGAGACAGAAUUUGAAAGGAGGAAUGGAGAGAGAAGUGUCAGGAGAAUGGAUAACAUAAAAGUGGAUAGAGAGGACAUAAUGGGGCUAUUAAAAUCACUAGAUGGUAAGAAGGCAAUGGGUCCAGAUGAAAUAUCAGGUCAAGUAUUAACCCGGUAGCAGCGACGGGCCAAAUUUGUGGCUAUGAGUAUGAGAGUGUUCCAACAAUAUUUCUCACAACACAGCAUUGCCAAUUGAGUGGGUUCUCCACUAAAUUUGGUGGAAAAUCAUGUCAGCCCAGCGCGGAAAAUCUACGGACGAGCAACUGGUGGAUGUUGUUGUCCAAUAUAGAGACAUUUUUGCAUAGCUUCACCUAUCACAUGACUGAUAUUUUGACCAAAUAGUUGUAAAUUCUGCAGUUGGCAAUACUGCCCUGCUAGCACCCCAUCAUCAAGAGAUCUACAGUAGUUGCCUUACGGCUGACCGUCGCGCACGUAUAAAUGUACGUCUUCACAGGCAACACCCCCUGAAUGUGCCUGUACUUUCGCAGGAGAGGCUUACAUUACCUAAUUGUAAGAUCUUGGCCUCCUCUUUCCAAUGUUAUUUUUGUUUUUUUAGCUGUGAUGAAUAGUUUUUGAGAUACAGAGGUUAAAAGAGCGAGCACUAGCGUCACUUGCUGGUGGUGCUUAAAGCUCGCUGCGAGCGCCAGUCGCACUCACAGCAAAAAAAACACCCUGAAAGUGCCUGUACAUUCGCAGGAGAGGCUUACAUAACCGAAUCUCAUAGAUCUUGGCCUCCUCUUUCCAAUGGUGUUUUUGUUUUGUAGCUGUGAUGAAUAGUUUUUGAGAUACAGCGGUUAAAAGAGAUCCCCUUCCCCCGCUGGGGUGCCCGAGCGCGCCUGAGGGGAUAGUCUCGUUGCGAGCGCUUAGCAAUGAAAGGGUUAAGGAGGUUGUGUCCCCGGAUGACCACGAGUGAAAUGGAUCAAGACUCUCAAUAGUGUGAAUGAGUAUUGGAAAUACAAAGUUGGUUGGCGAAGGAUUGAGUGUGCUGAGAUUAAGUGCUGGAACAGGUAAAUUGGAGAAACUUCUGCUGUGGCUGCCCCCUUGAGGGAAGUUAUGAGAACAGGGUGUUGGAGGUAGAGGUGUAAUAGUAAUGGAAAACAAAGUAAUUGAUAAGAGUAUAUUUUUUCCAUAUCAGACUAAAAAAAACUUGCCUUUUUUUACAAAAAUUGAAUUAUUUGUAUUCAACAAGGAUUUGUUUCAUACAGAUAUGAGGUUUUGUAAUCAUUGAUGGAACAGAUAUUAAUAUCCUAUAAAUACUGCAGCUAUUGGUAUCCUUUGAAGUAUUAGCAGUUGUAACAGAUGACUUAUCUAAUAAUAAUUCAUUUGGCCCGCUUUAUCUGCACAUAUAUUGUUCCAAGACCCCUGUGGAUGUUCAGGACAAAGAAAUAUGGAAUUUAUCUUAUACAUGCUUAUAACCUGAAACCUCAUAUUUGCACCCUCAUAACAUCCACAUAAAUCAUUCUGGUUAUGUCAUUGUAUGAAUUAAGGUGUGGCCAUUCAGAGCUUCAAGUAGAUAGAGAGAGUUUGGCCACUUGUUCCCUAGGCACUAUCAUGCUUGUGGUGCUUAUGCUUGCUGCCUUUUUCCCCAGUGCUCCAGCCAGAAUACAAGCCAAUGGUAAUUCAAUACUGCCAUUUUUAUCUACUUGUGGUUAGCUCGUGUCCAGGUUGAGUUGUUGGGUAAGGGGCAGUGGGCAUGAGCUGCAGGGAGGAGGGGUGGUGUCUGGGGAGUAUGUGGCUGGCCUCUCCCUAUCUACAGCUCUGAGGCUACUUUCCAACAGUGGUGGGCACGGUUCCGCUAACCGCUAAUUAGCGAAGCUAAAUUUUUCGUUAGCCGAUUAGCUUUUUCGCUAACUUUGGAAACAGGUAGCGGACCAAGUAGCUUCUGCUGAAUGUAGUUCCUCCUCCGCUAACUUAAGUCCACUAAAAAAUUCAUACAGUUUUGUUCUUGUCUGUUGUGGGCAGACACAGCACCAGUUGAGCCACAUGGCGCAGUAAUUGCAGGGCUUCCAAUUUUGGGUAAAUUACGCCUUAAAGUAGGGUAAUUGGAGUGGACAGUUAUUAGGGAAACUUUUGGGUAUUUUAGGGUAAUGCAUCUCCAUUUCCAACUCUUUGAACUCGGGAUUCAAUAACAAGAAUUUGAUAUUUUCCACCUGAGAGGAAACAAACUUAAAAUAAUGAAAAUGAAACUCAGUUAUGGAAAAAAGUAAAAAAUGCAUAAAUUUGUGGGAAAUCUUGGGUAAAAUAUAUGGAUUUAGGAAAAACUGGAGUAGUUCUCAGUGAGUAAGGUUGGUGCAGUUAUUUAUCAAGCAACUUGGCAAAUAAGUCCAUGUCGUUCUGUUAUUUAUCGAACAGCAUGGUAAAAUCUAUAAAAUAGUAAUCUCUCAGCGUAAACUAGUGAUGGCAAGAUUAAGACUGUGCAAUGCUUGGUAAAUAGCCACUUUGUACAAUUUUAUGUAUACUAUUUUCAUACAAUAAAAAUUAUGUACAAUUCAAAUCUGAAAAAAUGUCGGCAAUAAAACUGAAAUGUGUAAUUUUUCUUGUAGAGGUCAGUUACUCACCAGUGUCACCAAGCAGCCAGUUCAGUAUGCUGUAUUUUUUAAAAAUUUGAGGCUCUGCCUAGCAUAAUAUGUUUGUGUGAAAUAUUAAUGGUUUACAAAAUUUAUUCUCGAUGUAGGCUUAAAACGAUGGUUAC